CCUACGGGUGGCAGCAGUGAGGAAUAUUGGUCAAUGGACGCAAGUCUGAACCAGCCAUGCCGCGUGCAGGAUGACGGCUCUAUGAGUUGUAAACUGCUUUUGUACGAGGGUAAACCCCGAUACGUGUAUCGGGUUGAAAGUAUCGUACGAAUAAGGAUCGGCUAACUCCGUGCCAGCAGCCGCGGUAAUACGGAGGAUCCGAGCGUUAUCCGGAUUUAUUGGGUUUAAAGGGUGCGUAGGUGGUUUGAUAAGUUAGAGGUGAAAUGUCGGGGCUCAACCCCGAAACUGCCUCUAAUACUGUUGGACUAGAGAAUAGUUGCGGUAGGCGGAAUGUAUGGUGUAGCGGUGAAAUGCUUAGAUAUAACUUAGAACUCCGAUAGCGAAGGCAGCUUACCAGACUGCGACUGACGCUGAAGCACGAGAGCGUGGGUAGCGAACAGGAUUAGAUACCCUUGUAGUC
Molecule: ribosomal RNA, 460 nt
Filed under: uncultured bacterium
Lineage: Bacteria
Description: partial 16S ribosomal RNA
Rfam family: Bacterial small subunit ribosomal RNA
Source: RNAcentral